Molecule: long non-coding RNA, 13065 nt
Filed under: Cicer arietinum (chickpea)
Lineage: Eukaryota; Viridiplantae; Streptophyta; Magnoliopsida; Fabales; Fabaceae
Description: long non-coding RNA (CARI_LNC000360)
Source: RNAcentral
UUAAAUCUUAUACAUCCCAUUAUCAUCUUGAAAUGUGAAAAAACAGAAAUUUAAAAUAAACAUAGGAAUACAUUUAGGAAAUAAAAAGCAGAACAAAUUACAAAGCAAUGUGACAAAGAUAAAAUAACACAAACUUAGAACUCUUUAGGUGUGUGUGCAAUGAAACUAAUGCAUUGCACUUGGCGAACAUUGUCAAAUCCAAUGAUGCGGACAAAAGCAUUAGGGUAAGCCUUUACAACUUCCUGAAGUUCCUUCAACACUUGAACAGCCUCAGUGCAACCAAACAAUGGAAGCUUCCACAUUGUCCAGUACCUUCCAUCAUAGUAUCCUGGUGAGUUGUUGUGCUCACGGUACACAAAUCCUUUCUGCAAAUAAUUAUAAAUAAACAUAUUAACCAUCCGAACUUCGAAGAGUUUUAUGUAAAGAUCUUCGGAUGCAAUCUGAACAACGACAUAACAUUUUUUUAUGUUGUUGAAACUAUUAUGUAAUUACAAUUAUGACUACAUCAUCGUAUUUGGUUGUAAUUCUCUGUAGUAUCAAGAAUCACGACUGUGACUGCUAUUUAAAACCCUAACUCAAAACUACGUAUAUGUUAUUAAUUGAAUAAAAUAGAAAUUAAAGUAAGUAAAUAAAAUGAGAGUAGACCUCCAACUCAAAUUCCAAGCAAGGAACCCAUCCCUUCCUUAGAAGGUAUUCAACUUCCUUUAGCAAUUGCUCUUCAGUCAAUGGUGGAAGGUAUGAGAGAGUCUCAAACUUCUUCUUGCCAAUUGGUGGCCACACCUAUAUAGUAGUAAUAUCAAAAGAUUAAGUCAAAGGGGUUAGCAAAAAAUAUGAAUUAAUAAUGUUAUUUAAAUAAUUAAAUCACCUUAUGGAUAAAAAUAUCUAAUAAUUUCAAGUUUUGUUUAAUGAAUAUUAAUUAAUAAUGUACAAAAUAUAACACAACCGUUCAAUCAUAUUUAACAAAUUAUUGAACAUUGCAAUUUUAUAAAAUUAUAUUUAUUAAAUAUUUGUUCUAUAUUGUCAUAAAUAUAUAUUUGUGUAUAAUAAUUUGAAAUUGAUGCAUAUAAUAUUAAUUCAAAGUUAGAAUUAUAAAAUUGUAAUUAAAUAUCACAUUGAAAAAACAAAAAGACACUUAUUUUAGAAUAUUUUUAUUUGUUUAAACACAAUUAUUUUAGAUCAAGAGUAUAUUUAUUGAAAUAUUUUAAAAAGUGACGUGAUAAAGUGGUAUCAUAAUUAAUCAUUGUUCUCAAGUAGAUGAGCGAGUUUUGAUAAAUAUUUCAAAAACCAUUUAUAGAAAUUAAUAUACUAAACUAUAGAAUUAUUUGAAUUGAAAAAGUUUAAUAUAGUAAACUAUAGAAGUUAAUUAUGUAUUACUAACUUGCAUGCAGUGUACUCUUCCACCAUUGCUUGCAAUGGAAGUGAUGUCAUUGUUGACCUUUCUAACUGGGAAACCAGCCAUGGAUUUGAGACCAACAAAUGGAGCCACCGCGCCGGAUGGCACCGAAGAGGCGCGUUUAACGGUGGUCACCGCCGAAGAGGAAAUCAUAGAGGAAGCCAUUGUUGUGUUUUCACUUUCUUAUAUAUUUCUAUAAAUUGAGUUGAAAAGCUUCUAUUGAAACUUGCUAUAUAUAAUGUUUUGAAAUUUAGUGAUGGUUAUAUUAUACCAAUGGUUUGGAUUGUGAAAAUGAUAAACAUUGGAACCAUAUUAACCACACGAGAUUGGAAAGUUUGUGUUACUAGCCUUAUCAUUAUGCACCAAUAGGAUAUUGACACGUGGAUCAUGUCCUACUAAUCUUAUCUUCUCAUGAGAACAACAUAAAUGUGUGAUGGUGGUCAUGUAAGUCGUUUUUAUAUUUUAUUUUAUUUUAUAUGAAUUGAAAUAAUGUCGUUUUUAUGUAUGUUGGUCUCUUGGAAUUUUGUGACUAUUAAUUAAUUCCUCAUGGUACCUUUUUUCAGGCUUUGGCUUCUCAUAGAGGUAAAAAUAAUAAAGGUUUUCAUUCAUAUAAAAGUAAUUGACUUAUGUACAAACUUGGGUAAACCAUAUAAUCAAGACUUCACACAUAAAAAUGGCUUAUUGGUAAACUUGGGUGAAUCAUAUAAUCAAGACCAAAAAUAUAAACUCCACCAACUAGACUAAUCUUAAGCAUGUGAUAGAACUUACUCUAGGAGAUGAUUAGGAAGAACCAAUUGCAUGGUGUGAUUUGUUUGAGAGUUUUAAGUUGGAUGUGAUAUUAUUUUAAAAAUAUUGAUAAAUAAAAGGUAUAUUUCAUAUAUAUGUAGCACUGACUUAAUAUGUGUAACACCCCAAAAUUUUCAUAUAUAUUAUAUGUGUAUCUUUUUAGUAAUUGCUAUUAUUAAAUUAAUAAUUAUUAUAUGUGUAAAUAAAUUAAAUUAAAUUUUAUCACACUCUAUUCUACCUAAAUAAUUAUAAUAUUCAUUUUUAUUUAAUUGUUUUGACGUGACAAUUACAUGGGGACUAUUUAUGAUGUCAUUAUUUCAUAAAUGGACAUUUUUAUUUGAUUAGUUUCGAUAAUCAUGAAAUUGAUGUGUUAGAUAUGUUUGUUUUAUUUUGUUAUGUGUGAGUGGUAUUCUUGUCUUGCUUGAUUUUAUUUUAGUUAAUAAAAUAUUAGUUGAAUUAUUUAAUUAAAUUAGAAUUUAUAUAAGUUAUAUUGUUUGUUAGUUUUAUUUGCAACCAAAUAAGUAUUCAUUUUAGGAGAUAUUAUAGAGUUAGUGAAACAAACGUAUAAGUGUUUUGAAAAUAUUUUUGGUCCAUCUUAUAAAAACAAAAAUUAGUUACUUGACUCAUUCUUUUACUCUCAUUUAUGACAAGAUUUUAUGACAAUUGUUUUCUUGGCAUAAUGUGCAUUAAUUCAUUUUAAACACCUUUAAUUUAUUUUUAAAGGAAGAUUAUAAAUUUAAUUAUAAGUUUUUUGUGCAAUCAAGAGAGGACACAAAAAGACUAUUGUCCUUUUUGUAUCUCAUGCAUUCAUCUCUUAAACUAAAAUUAUAAUUUUAUUAUAAUUGUCUACAAAAAUAAUUUUAUGAAAUUUUUGGUUCGUAACUAUUAGAUAAAAAAAUUAAAAGGGUGAUGUGACGAUCUCUAAUUUAUUUAUUUAAUUAAAAUUAGUGUGUGACACCCUUCAAUAUAUGGUGAACUCUAUUAGUUAAUCCAAAUUAACUCAUACAUAUAAAUACACAUAAUUUCAAUUGGCAUUGUAACAACCUAAUAAAAUUAAAGAAAUAGUAAUUAUUGAUAGUGUAAUGUUGGAAUUAAGUGCACUUCAAUUUUAGACAAGAAAUCAAUGGUAAUAGUGCAACGUAAAUAGCUUAUAUGUUCAUACGUUUCCAUUAGGCAUCUUGUUGUCACACCUAUUUGUCAUUCGUACACUCUCAAAAUAAUUUUCUGAGUCGUAAAUUCCAAUAUCUAUCGGUGUUGAAUUCAUUACUGCCUCGUGAGCUAUUUCUCGUGCAAAUUUAGAGGUGUUAAGAAAGAAAGCGCCUAAGGUAAGGGCUUUUCCCCAUGCAAUGUUAGGCUAGAUAUUAAAUUAAUAGUUUGUAAGAUAUUGAUAUAAAACUUGUUGUCUUAAAAGAGAAAUAUUGAUUUUUAAUUACCUUAAAAUAUUUAACUAUAAUAUUUUAUUUUUAUGAGUAAUAUGUUUGCUUUGAUAAACUUAAUUAUAAAUUUCGAUUUUUAUUAUUAUAACAUGACUAAUAUGUUUGAUGUCAUAUAUUUGAUGUAAAGUUAUUGUUUGUGUGUUGUUUAUGUGUACUUAAUUAUAAAACUAUGAUUUUUAUUAUGAUCUCAUGAAUAAUAUUUUUUUAGGAUGUCUUUAAUUUAAAGUUUCGAUUUUUGUGCUAUUUCAUUUCAAAGUUUUGAUUUUUAAGAAAUCUAUAUGAGUCUUGGGGGAAUUGGUGUAAAGUUUUAAUUUUAAUUAUGAUAACAUGAUUAAGUUGAUUUUUGUGAUGUGUUUAGCGGCAAACCUUGAUUUGUGUUUUAAUAAUAUUAUUUUUGUGGUUGCCUAAGUGGCUUGUGAUUUGUGUUUUGAAUAUUUUAUCUAUGUGGUUGUCUAAGUGGUUUGGUUGGUAGUUUGUAUUUUAAAUAUUUUUAUCUUUGUGGUUGCCAAAUUGGUUGGUGAUUUGCAUUUUAAAUAUUGUUAUCUUUGUGGUUGCCUAAGUGGCUAGUGAUUUGUGUUCUAAAUAUUAUCUUUGUGGUUGCCUAAGUGGCUGGUGAUUUGUGUUUUAAAUAUUGUUAUCUUUGUGGUUGCCUAAGUGGCUGGUGAAUUGGAUUUUAAAUAUUGUUAUCUUUGUGGUUGCAAGUGGCUGGUAAUAUUUAUGUGAUUAUCUAAUUGGGUGGUGAUAUGUAUCUUUGAGCAUCAUUAUCAUUUCAUGACAUAUCAUAUGCAUCUUUGUGGACGCCUGUGUGGCUGGUUUAAUUUUCCCCAUUGGUAUGGGUGACUUCUGUGUGGACGCCUGUGUGGCUGGUUAUAUCCGGAUCAUAUAUAUUUAGGAGCAUGCAUAACUUGCAUAUAUUCUAUUGUUAUUUUUAUUUUGAUCUAAUUAUUUGAUAUACNNNNNNNNNNNNNNNNNNNNNNNNNNNNNNNNNNNNNNNNNNNNNNNNNNNNNNNNNNNNNNNNNNNNNNNNNNNNNNNNNNNNNNNNNNNNNNNNNNNNNNNNNNNNNNNNNNNNNNNNNNNNNNNNNNNNNNNNNNNNNNNNNNNNNNNNNNNNNNNNNNNNNNNNNNNNNNNNNNNNNNNNNNNNNNNNNNNNNNNNNNNNNNNNNNNUUAAUUUUUCCCAUUGGUAUGGGUGACUUCUGUGUGGACGCCUGUGUGGCUGGUUAUAUCCGGAUCAUAUAUGUUUAGGAGCAUGCAUGACUUGCAUACAUUUUUAUGUUAUUUUAUUUUGAUCUAAUUAUUUGCUAUACGAUUGCUACUUGAUUUAUUUAGAUACAUUCUAUAACUUUUGAUACAUCUUUAAGAACUAUUAAAGAAUAAAUUUUUUUAAAAUCUUUUAUUACGAAAAGAUUUUAUAUUCAUAUUUUAUGGUUGUUAAUUUAUUAUUUGGUUUAGUUUUGUUGUGGGAUGAACUGACCCCUUACACCAACAUUUAGGUACGAAUGAUUUCAAAGAGUUGCAUGAAUGACGUUUGAUUGGUGCACACACAUGGGAAAAUUAUAUUUUACUUAAAAAUAAUAUUUUGUAUUACUAAAGUUUUGCGGCACAUUGUAAAGUUAUUUACUCUUCAUCAUUAACUUUUAAUAGAAAUGCAGUGAUAUUUCAUUAGCUAGAAAAAAAUUGAAUGUCAUUAAUUUCAGUCAACAUUGUUUCUUUUGAAUUUCACUUAAAGAGAAUUUAUUUUAUUUUGGACCAUAAAUGAAUAUUGAUCUAAUAAUUGGAAUAUUAAUUUUGCAAAUGAAUAAAUAAAUAAUAUUUUAGUAAAUUACAUUACGUUCUUUUAAUGAGAAAAAAAAAUUAAUUAGUUGUUUCUAAAAGAAAAUAAAUACUUUUCAGUAAUAUUCGUAUCAAAAAUUUGGGGCGUUACAUGUGGUAUCAGAGCACUAAUUCUCGGACCUUGUGGGGUGGAUGUGUUGUGUGUUGCAUGUAUUCCGAUGUUACUUGCGUUAUUUGUUCGAUUUUCUAUUUAUUGAAUUUUAUUAAUUACUUAAAUUUUAAUUAUAUGUUAUUAAUUUGGUGGCCACUUUGAAUUUGAAUUUUACUAAUGACUUAAAUUUCUAUUAUGAGUCAUUAAUUGUGUAACCUUCAAUUUGAAUUUUUAAGAAUUACUUAAAUUCUUAUUAUGUGUCAUUAAUUAUGUUAAUUGUUUGGUUCUCUAAUUAUUGAAUUUUACUUAAAUUUUUUUGUGUGAUUGUGUAACCUCCAUGAAUUUAUGUCAUUAAAAAUAUGACUUAAAUAUUUGGUUUAAUUGUGUUAUUUUAUUAUUUAUUUAGUUGUUUUCAUAUAUGAAAUCUCUAUGUCUAGUUGUAUGUUUCUUUAGCUUUGUCUUUUUAUAUUAUUUAGAAAUCUUCUAUUUAAUUUUGAUAGAUUUUACUAUCUUUUUAUGAGUUUUUUUCUUGUUUAUUAUGACUAUUUUGUUUUAAUAAUCUUAGACUCUCUACUUCUUGUUUAUGUUAAAUAUUUUGUGGUCUAGUUAUUACUUGACUUAAUUAGUUUUGUUAAUAAUAAUCAUUAAUAUUACAAAAUAAUUUAAUCUUCUACUUCAUACAAAUGAGUAUUAUUAUGUUAUAAAAUAUAAUACUAUAUAUAUUAUUGUUGUUAUCAUUGUCUCUUUUAUAUUAUUUUUAUGAAACUACAAAUUUUAGUUCACUUGAAUUGCAAAUAUUUUAAAAAGAAUAUCAUUUAAUUCGAUAUUAUUAUUAGUGUUAGUAAUAAAUUUUCCUUUUAACUUGCUUAGUUAAGAUAUUUUUAAUAUUGCAAAGGUAUUUAAUAAACAAAAUUAAUUUUGGUUUUAUUUCUUAAAUUAGAUUUUUUAAGACAAAUUUAAUGUAGUUACGUUUUUUUUUUGAAUUUAUAUACAUAUACAAUAUUUUUCUUUAUUUUAUGAAUGUUGUUUACACACUUUAAGAUGAAGAGUUAAGAUAGUAUAUUAUUGUAAUUAUUUUACCAUUAAUAUCAUUAUUAUUAUUUCUAUUAUUGUUAUUAUUUGUUAACAUUUAGAUUUUAACAAAUAAUACUCUUCAUUUAUUAAUUUCCUUUGUUUUACUGCUCAAGUUAUGUUGAGGUAUAAAUGUGAAAAGUGAGAAAGAACUUGAUGAAUCAUAGCUUGGGCGUCCCUAAGAUUUUGGUCCCUACUCCCUAUGCAAACCAAGGAAAUGUUGCCUUAAUAAAUCUAAAAAUUGCAUUUAUAGAUCUAAAUAUUGGAAUGGAGAAAUUCAGAUAAGAUUUCAUCUUCUUUCUUAAGAUUACAAUAUUACAUUCCUACCAUUAAGCUAACAUUCUAUGAUCAUUUUUUUUUUUUAAUUCUCCGAUGUCGUAGGAAUAAAACUUUAAUAAUUUAGGAUUUAGUUGAGACGUAAGUAAAAUUUAAUUAAAAAUUGUUUUAUUUAUAAUCCAAUUUUAGUUAUUUCAAAAGAUUUAUUUUUAACUGAAGUUCAUUGUUUGAUCUCAAACACUUGGUUUUUGUCUUUAUUGAUGCACACCUAUUAAUAAUAUGUUUAGAAUUCGUUUGAUGGACAAGAUAUAAAUAAGUUAUCAUAUUAUAUUUGAAUUGAGUGUUUGAUGAACCAACAUGAUAUGAUAUGAUAAGUCAACCCAUAACUCUAUCUUAUCAUGUAUCUUUAAUUGAAAUUUAUAUCAUAAAUAUGAGCUGAGUUAUAAACUAUCAGAAAAUGAUAAGAACAAUAAUUUACUUAAUUAUUCUUAUAAAAUAUAAAAUAUAAAAAUAAUUUAUAAAAUAUUUUAGAUAUGUAAAUCUAAUCAAAUAUAAAUAAAUAAAAAUACUUAAUAGAAUUUGAUCUUAAACUUAAAAAUGAAAUAUUAAUAAUUAAUUUAAAAAAUAUUUAUGAUUUUAUCACAAUGAUAACUUUGUCUUUUUAUAUAAUUUAAAUUAGCAUUCAAAAUUAUACAAAUACGAAGAUUAAUUAAAAUAUUAAAAUAAAAAUAAUUUUUUUACAAGGAUAUUUCUGCCAUUUACAUAUAAUAUAUAUCAUAUCUUUAUUUAUAUUAUAACAAAUAAAUAAAAUUAUUUAGUUACUCAUUAUUUAAAAAAAAAAUAUUCAAUUGUUUAUACAGUAGUGUUAGUGGAUUGUUUUAGAUAUAAUAUUAUUUCAUUACUUAUUUAAUUUGUUAUUAUUUUUUCGUUAAGUUAAUUUUUAACAAAACUAAUAUGUAAUUAUUCACAAUGAUAAUUUUGUUAUUUAAAUAUAAUAUAUACUAUAUUGAUGUGAUGUGUAUCAAAUACAUGAGAAAAUAAAACGUUAUCUUAUUAAUUAUUAUGUGUGUAUUAAACACUAGAUAUAAUAAUGUUUAUUCUGUCACACCUUAUUUUUCAUUUUUUGUACCCCUAAUCUUUACCAUAAAAUCUUUAUCUUAGGAUUAAAAAAUGGUAAGAAAAAAAAAAUAGUACCCCUUAAAAGUAGAUCAUGUCUGAUUGAACCACCUACACAUGUUCAAGACCACCAUUGGUAGGAAGUUAUUGAUCUUUACAGUUGUGUUGAUUAGGUGUGUUAAUUGAUUUGUGAUAUGUUUCUUUUCAACAUUAUUAAGAAUCUUGAAGAAUCAAUAGUGUCAUUCUCUACUUUUCUAGGAUUCAAAAAUUAAAUCUUGGACUUCAAUUGUUGCAAGAAUCAGGGAAUAUGCUGAUGCUGGUCAAAGCACACUUCAAUUGUUUGUUGCUCUUAGUGUAACAUCUCUUGAUUAGAAUCAUUUUCUUUUACUCUUUAAAAUAUUUCCACUUUAUUCAUGAAUAAAAUCAUCAAUUCAGAGUGCCUUACAUUGUUUAAGUCAAAAUUUUAUGCCUAAGAUUGUUAUCAGAUGGGAAGAAAUUAAAAUAUUAUUCAUGAUAAAAAAAAAAUGUAAAUAAAAAAACUUGGAAACUUUUUUCCUAUUAAUAUGUCAGUCAAUUUCGAUGUAUUUUGUUCGUUUAUAAAAAGUGAAAUUGAUGUGUUUUGGUGAUAUGAAUGUUCAAUUGAUGUUAGUUUAUGUCAAGUAGCUAAACCAAACAUAUUAUACUAAUCUUCGCAAGAGAUCAUUUAUUCUCAUAUUAAUUGUAUACACUCAAAUAUUUUUAUAUUUUCAAAAUAUGCUCAAAAAAAUUUCUUGUAAAGAUGAAAAAUAGUUAUGUGGAAGUAAGAUUUCUCUUUCCAUAAACGUUGCUAUCAAAAAGAGUCAAGUAUUUCCACAAGAUAAGAUGUCAUCUAUCAUAAAUUUUAUUAACUCAACCACUAAAUGAUCAACCAAAUAAGUAAUCCAUGUGCAUGACUACAAUUUUCAGCCAAUGAACAGAAUUUGACAAGCACUCUUGUAGUUCAAGAUAAAUUGUUUUAUUUUUGUGGUAAGAGAGAUUCAUCUACUCGAUUUUGUGUCAAAUUUCGAUUUGUUUUCCCUUUCAAAACUACAAAUGAUUUGAAAAUUAUAAAGGAAAGUUAAUAAAUGACUAAAACAAAAGGGCUAUGUUGGACUUUAAAGUUUGUUAAGUUAUAUAUACGAAUGUUUAGGUCGACAAUUGAAAAAUACACAUCCAAAAAGAAAACAAAGACAAUUUUUAUGUCCUUCCAAUGUGUAUUUUUAGACAAAAAAAAAAACAAUAUUUUUCCUCAUCUAGAUCUAGAUGUAUAUUUUCAAAAUCCUAUCCUUCUUUUUAGAAAUGUGUGGUAGAAAAAGUUGCUCUUAUAUAAAAAUAUUUGUUGCCAAGGAUAAAGAUAUGUCAAUUAGGUAAAGCUCAAUAGCUUCAUGGAAUAAGACUAUGAGGUUAGCAUGAAGAAUAAACACCUCAAAGAUUAAUUUGAAAACAUAGUUACUUGGUCAUAUAGUCUCAUCCUUGACUUCACAUUUAAGAAACAAACCUUAAUAUCAUAGUGUUGGUUCCUUUAUUAGUUAAAAUAUCAAGUUCAACAUAAUAACAAGGUAAACAACAGAAAAUUAUAGUACUUUGAGAAUGAAUAAAAGGACCAUUUCAUUUAUUAACUCUUAUCCAUCCAUUUGCAUUUGAAGUCCGAAAGUAAAAACCGAAAAAACAAAGGAAGACAUUCCUUUGAAGAAGAAAAGGAAAUUACAAGCAUAACAAAUGGGAGAAAAUAAAUGAUUCUUCCAAGAGAGUUAAUACUCAAACUUAGAACUCUUUAGGUGUGUGUGCAAUGAAACUGAUGCACUGCACUUGGCGAACGUUGUCGAAUCCGAUGAUGCGGACGAAAGCAUUAGGGUAAGCCUUGACAACUUCCUGAAGUUCCUUCAACACUUGAACAGCCUCAGUGCAACCAAACAAUGGAAGCUUCCACAUUGUCCAGUACCUUCCAUCAUAGUAUCCUGGUGAGUUGUUGUGCUCACGGUACACAAAUCCUUUCUGCAAAUAAGUACAAAUAAACAUAUUAACCAUCCUAACUUCGAAGAGUUUUAAGUAAAGAUCUUCAGAUGCAAUCUGAACAACGACAUAACAGUUUUUUAUGUUGUUGAAACUAUUAUGUAAUUACAAUUAUGACUACAUCAUCGUAUUUGGUUGUGAUUCUCUGUAGUAGUAUCAAGAAUCACUAUUGUGACUGUGACUGCUAUUUAAAACUCUGACUCAAAAUUACGUAUAUGUUAAUUGAAUAAAAUAGAAAUUAAAGUAAGUAAAUAAAAUGAGAGUAGACCUCCAACUCAAAUUCCAAGCAAGGAACCCAUCCCUUCCUUAGAAGGUAUUCAACUUCCUUUAGCAAUUGCUCUUCAGUCAAUGGUGGAAGGUAUGAGAGAGUCUCAAACUUCUUCUUGCCAAUUGGUGGCCACACCUAUAUAGUAGUAAUAUCAAAAGAUUAAGUCAAAGGGGUUAACAAAAUUAGUACAUAUUUAUAAUUGAACAAAAGGGUUAACAAAUUUGUACACAUUUUUGCCAAUGAAUCCCUUAGUAUAUUUGAGUUAUAUAUCUUCUAUUACAAAAAUAUGUAACAUAUCCUUAACCAAUGAAUCCAUCAAUUUUUGCUACUCAAUUUGUUUUCUUCAAAAUCUCUCUUAUUAUGUAUUGAAAACCAAACCAAAUUUGUCUAAAGAAUCUAUGUUAAUUAAGAUUUACAAUUUGUUAUGUUCAAUUAUUGAACAGCAACAACGUUUAGUAGUAAAUCAAUAUUGUAUAUCAAUUGUUAAAUAUGAUAAUAUUUUAAAAGGCAAAUAUAAAUCUAUAAUAUGAUAUAUCAAAAAAAUAGUUGUAGAUUAUUAAGAAAAAAAUCACUAACUUGCAUGCAGUGUACUCUUCCACCAUUGCUUGCAAUGGAGGUAAUGUCAUUGUUGACCUUUCUAACUGGGAAACCAGCCAUGGAUUUGAGACCAACAAAUGGAGCAACCGCGCCGGAUUGCACCGAAGAGGCGCGGUUGACUGUAGUCACAGCUGCAGAAGAAAUCAUAGAGGAAGCCAUUGUUUUUCUCCCUUACUUAACUCUUUAAUCAGAAACACUUGUACUGAAUUUGCAAAGCUUCUACUAUACCUUGCUAUAUAUAAUGUUUUAUUUUUGCUAUUUUCAAUAUUUCCAAUAUGAUCUUAAAAUAUGUGGUAAUUAGCUACUGUCUAAUACCAAUUUGUUGGAUUGUGAAAAUGAUAAACAUUGCAGCCAUAUUAACCACACAAGUUUGAAACUUUUUGUAUCUUAGCCUUAUCAUUAGGCACCACUAUGAUAGUGCCACGUGGAUUAUGGCCCCACUAAUCUUAUCUCCUCAUGAGUAGAGUGUAAAUAUGUGAUGGUGGUUAUGUUGAUAUUUUUUUUAAUAAUUUAAUUGUAUCCUUGUAAAUUCUACUCUAGUGUAUUGGCCUCAUAAUGGAAUUAUGUGACUGUUACUUCACAAAAAUUUAUCAUGAAUGGAUUGGAAUGGGUAACAUUUGUUCCUGUCCAAGCUUUUUGGCUCCUUAGGGAGGAAAAUAAAAAUUAGAAUAAGAAGAAAAAAAAUUAAUGGAAUGAAACUUCUCAGCUGACACUCUCUUAUCCGUUUUGUUGGUUAGUUGAGAAUGUACAUCUGUCUUCAUAGUUACAUGAGAAAUUUAUUUCUACAUUUUCCUCUCAGCCAAGUAAAAUUGCAUAAAAUCAAUCUAUUUUUAAGAUACAUAUUUAAAAACUUUAUAAUGUGUUCUCUAAUAUUUAAUUUAGAUUUAAAUAUGAUUUAAGUAUCUGUGAUUAUAACAUUUUUUGAUUUUAAUCAUGUAAUUUAGGUUUUAAACAAUGUUGUUUUUAGUCUAUGAUACGUCAUGCGUGACUAAAUAAAAUCACGCCACGAGUUAAGAGUUUAGUCUUGUAACCUCAUGGUACAAAAUUCAAAAUCCCCUCGAAGACGGUCGCAAAGUAGACAUUUAUGUUACAUUGAUUAACAAAAAAAGACACACAAGUACUAAACAUACCCUUAUAAUAUGUUGAAAAUGUCAAGACAAAAAUUAAAGUUAGAGACAGCUGAUUCUUAAAGAGCAUAUUACAUGGAUAACUAUGUAAACAAUAGGAUCUAUAACUAAAAUAUUGAAUAGUUGAGAUUAUGAAAGGAUAACUGGCCUGUAAAAAACUGAAAGAUGUUUGAAACUUCAUCUUUAGCUUGUAUUACUCAAUGAUGAUGUUGAUGUUGAUGACAUGUUUGAAAUUUUGUUGUAUUACUGAUGAGGUUCUGACUUAUUUUUUUCUGUUUAUCUUCGGCAUUAUUUUGCAACUUUGAUGCAGUAAUGUUGUUCUCAGUUUUUCUAGCAGUGUAACUUUAAGGCCUGUGAUUCAUGAUGUAAGAAUUAGGGCAUUUGCUGAUACAAAAUAUAAAUGUAGUUAGUUGCCUUUUGUCAUCUUCAAGUAGUUAGUUUUUCAUUGUGAUCUGAAUUCAAAGAUAUGGUAUUAUGAAGUUUGUACAAUUUGUUCACAUAUUGGCAAAAUUUUCUUUGGAUAAACCUUAAUUUUAAUCCUUGAAAGUAUAGAAUGUCAACACUUUAAUAUCAGACUUAAUCAAGCACCUAAAUUAUUUAUCGGAUUAUCAAAACAUCAAUCAUUUUAGUCAUUAACAUUAUAAUAGUCAUAGACUAAUUUUGACAGUAAAUUGUACUUUUUGGGACUUUAAUAAUAGUAAUUAUAUCUUUCAAGGGCUAUUUUAAUGAUUCAAAACUAUUUUGAAUUUUUGGCUAAGUUAGAGACCAAAGUGACAAUGUUUUACACUUUCAAAGACUAAAAUGGUGGUUUACCCCAUUUUCUAUGUCUCAAAAAAGGUGAAUAUUCUCUGAUGUAGUAAUUUACUGAUUUUGGUCUGUCUUAUUUGUUUUUACCAGGUAUUCUGGGAACAUGAUUGAAUCGACCUAUUAUAAUCAGUGUCAAAUGAUAAAAUAAAGCAUCUACAAGAUACUUUGUUGUAUUUUAAAAUUUUCAUGGUUGAAGUUUAGUGUAUACUGCACUGGCUAUAUAUUCAAAUAAAG